RNAcentral lists this ribosomal RNA (468 nucleotides) under uncultured bacterium. RNAcentral's name for it is "partial 16S ribosomal RNA". It matches the Rfam family "Bacterial small subunit ribosomal RNA", at positions 28 to 507 of the family's 1533-position model. The record is from RNAcentral.
GACGAACGCUGGCGGCGUGCUUAACACAUGCAAGUCGAACGGAAAGGCCCUGCUUUUGUGGGGUGCUCGAGUGGCGAACGGGUGAGUAACACGUGAGCAACCUGCCCUUGACUUUGGGAUAACUUCAGGAAACUGGGGCUAAUACCGGAUAGGAGCUCCUGCGGCAUGGUGGGGGUUGGAAAGUUUCGGCGGUUGGGGAUGGACUCGCGGCUUAUCAGCUUGUUGGUGGGGUAGUGGCUUACCAAGGCUUUGACGGGUAGCCGGCCUGAGAGGGUGACCGGCCACAUUGGGACUGAGAUACGGCCCAGACUCCUACGGGAGGCAGCAGUGGGGAAUAUUGCACAAUGGGCGGAAGCCUGAUGCAGCAACGCCGCGUGCGGGAUGACGGCCUUCGGGUUGUAAACCGCUUUCGCCUGUGACGAAGCGUGAGUGACGGUAAUGGGUAAAGAAGCACCGGCUAACUACGUG